This 5479-nucleotide long non-coding RNA is filed under the name Daucus carota (carrot). RNAcentral describes it as "long non-coding RNA (DCAR_LNC003929)". Lineage: Eukaryota; Viridiplantae; Streptophyta; Magnoliopsida; Apiales; Apiaceae. The record is from RNAcentral.
UGGCGGUGAUUUGUUUCGCCGCUGAUAGAGGUGAGCGGAGGGAGCUGUUGCGUAGGGUGAGCUUGGGGUGUAUAGAGGGGAAUAGAUGGAGCUACUACAGAGGGCUGCGGAAGAUUGUGUGCGUGUGUCCUGUUGUGUGGGUGGUGUGUAUAACUGCCCUGUACAGGUGUACUAGUUUAUGUGUGUAAAUAGUUACUUUGUGUGUAAACAAAGCAGGGGGUUGGGAGAGGCUGCUGGUACGUGGCUGUGAUGUUUGUACAGGUGUGUAUAACAGCCUAAAGGUAUGUGUUGUCGCUUCUGUGUGUGUUCUAGUAGGUUGUGUGAUUUAUGUGGGUGUAAAUACCGUGUUGGUUUGUCGGAGGUGUUAGCAGGGCAGGUGCGGGUGUUAAUUGAAAUUGAAUAAGAAGGCUGAUCUAAGGCUAUUGAUUAGGCAGUCUAUGGGACUGGUGUGAUGGAAACUGAUGGAAGGAGGGUUGGAUGGAGAAGAGAGUGUAUGAGAUUGAAAAUAUGGGUACGAGUAUGCUGAUAAUGUUUUUGGGGUGGUAUUUUAAGAGUUUAAGUAGUGAAUUAAAGAUUUAGAAUUAUUCAUACUUGACUUAGAAAGUUUUGGCCGUCGCUGGUCUAUUUUGCAGUAUAAUUCUGGGUUAAUUGAGUUCAGUUAUGUGCUUAAUCUUUAUGUAAUAAUGUGCUACUUGAAGUCUAGAUCAAGUACGAAAAAGAAUUUCGAAAUUUCAUUAAACGAGCUAAAAGAGAUGUAUGUUUUAGUGCGAGGUGCGCAGAAAAUUCUGGGCAGGUUUGUCCUGUUCCAGGCCCUGUUUUGCUACCUUUAACUUGGUAUUUACUUAUGAAAAUUUUAAUGGAGUUUGAUAUUGGAGUCUGGAAUGUGCUGUUAAAAUUUUAUACAAUCAGACCAAUUUUUCUAUUUAUUAAAAAAUCUUAGCGUCGGGCUGGUUUUUCAAGACAGUUUCUGGUGCCUAAUUGACAUGCCUGUUUUACUGCUUUAAGCUUGGAGUUUCUUUCUGAAAAUUUUACUGUAGGUUGGAAUAAUGUGUAGGAGUGUCUCAUAAAAAUUUCGUAUUAUAUCGAUAAAUUUUCAAUUUAUUAAAAAUCAUAGAGUAAGGGCUAUUUAAACUAUUUGCUCUAGUUUUCUUUCUUUGUUGGUGCAUAAUAUGAAGUUAUACUUGAUUAAUUGCAUACGAUUGAUUAUUAAUUGAUUGGCUCAGUUGGCCUUGUAUAUCUUAUUAAAUGUAUUUUGUGUAUAGUGAACAAGCAAUCGUGCGGAAAGAUUUUCUUAUGUGUUUACUGCAAGUCAAGACAUCUUUUUAUAUUAUAAUUCAUGUGUUGGAAAUAGUAUUGGCUGGUUGUUGGUAUUGAAAACAGGUGGAUAAGCCUAUAAACAGAGGAGAUGUUGCCGAAUUUUUAUUAGAAAUUAAGGUGUUUAUUUAUUACUAAAUAAUUGAUACUUGAUGGCAGUAUAUUCUAUUUGAACUGGAAUAUCUAUCGAUUGUUUAUUGAUUAUGUGAUUAUGUGUUGACUGAUCCAAUGUGUAUAUAUUGCUAUGUGGAUAUCUGUAUAUAUUCAUGUUUAUUAUAUAUGGAUAUGCGAAGGGUAGAUGUUCGUGAUUCUUAUAAUAUUUAGAAUCAGCUAGUUCUUCUAAUCCGAAGACUUAGAUAUUAUCCUACUAUCGUGUAGAAUAAUCAAGACGUGUGUAUCGAGAAUGUUCAUUAUUAAUUUGAUGGUGUUGCAACUUGAAGCAAGAAAUAUCUGAGAAGACAAGACGUAGAAAGAAUAUUGUCGGAAGCUACUUAGAAAGAUAUGGUUGUGCAAUGUAGUGCUAUUAGAAUCGUGGCUAGACAUCGGAGUUGAGGCAAGUAAUUCUAACUUUCUCUUGCAAUUAGAGGCAAGUAUUUCUAUUCUUCUCUUUUAUUUAAAGAGCAAGUACUUCUAUCUAUCUUUCCCUUGCAGUUAGCAAGUAUUUCUAUUCUCAACUUGUAAUUACUGCAAGUAAUUCUAUUCUGCAUUUAUAUUGAAAGGGCAAGCAUUGUUAUCUUUCUCGUGUGAUUAAAGAUAAGUUAAAUAUUUCUAUUGUUAGAUCUGCAGUUGACAACAUUGCUAGACAUAUAUUAUGUUCUUGAUAGCUGAGAUAGCUACUUGGUUACAUUGAGUUAUAUGGUGGUGAUUUGAAAUAAGAAAAGAAGAGUUUUUGAAUAAAUAUAUAUAUGGUUGCGAAAGAAAUAAAUACAUAUGGUGAAGGGCUAGUGAAUAGCCGAGGGCUAUUGAAUAGCCGGGGCUAGUGAAUAGCCAAUCAGAAAAGCGAGCAAGAUGCCUAUUGUGUAUACCAAUAAUUGUCACCGGGAGGACUUUAUGUCCGAGGCCCGGGGCACCAAUAAUUGUCACCGGGAGGACUUUAUGUCCGGGGCCCGGGGCACCAAUAAUUGUCACCGGGAGGACUUUAUGUCCGGGGCCCGGGACACCAAUAAUGGUCACCGGGAGGAUGUUAUGUCCGAGGCCCGGGAUAAGGAUUCUAUUGUCUUGGGAACUGUAAAAGUUAGCGUAAGAGGCUAGUAAACCUAGUCCAACUGUUGAGGCCAAUUAGAUGCCUAGUGGGUACCCUAGUGUCGUUACCGGUGGGACUUAGAUCCAGUGCCCGGAACGAUCCGUCGUCGGUGGGACUUAGAUCCAGUGCCCGAGACGGAGGACUUUACGUGGCUGAUCACCCGUAUUGUCAGAUGAGUUGAAAGGAAGUUAAUAAUUAAAUAUUCUUAUAAAUGGACUAUAUUCUGAUAAAAGAAUAGCUUGGACCCAUUGUAAUCGAAAUUUUUAUAAAAAAGGGUGGCAGUAUGUAAUUGAACUUCAAUUAAUUUGAGGGGAACCUAGAACUGAAUCUCUGUUACAAAUAUUUGAUUUAAUUCAGAUAGUAUGGCAUUGUUAAAAAUUUAGUGUUAUACUUGCUGAGCAUUGCUCACUCUUGCUAUUAUUUCUAACCCUUGCAGCUAAGGAUUAAGGUGGUCACCUGGGUAAGCUGCGCGUAAGAGUAAUGCUAGGCGAGACUGCUAGGGAGGUGGCUGCGAGACUAGUAUGGUUAGAGUUGAAUUAUUUCAAUUCAGUUGUAGAUGGUUUUUAUUUAUUGGUUAUCAGUUAUCCUUCUUACCGAAGUUUAGCUGAUAACGUAGUUUAAGUUGUAAAAAGAUUUUAUAGUUUGGGUUCUGGUUUCAAUGCUGUAACCUAUUUGCGAUCCUGUUGUUAGGGGGUCAAAGUGAUUUUGAUUUAAAUCUCUUUUAAAAAUCCAGAUUUUGAAAUAUAUGUUUUACCUUCUUCCGGAAAUACAGGUUUAAAUUGAUUUUUGUCCACGUGGCACCAGAUCCAGACCCCUGGAUCUGAGGGAUGUCACAGUUGGUAUCAGAGCUGUAGGUUAUAAGUUAUUGAAAUCAGAAUAUAGAUUGUAAUAGAAAUGUGUUUAAUGGAACCUCAUAUAGAGGCAAGUUGAGACUAUUGGAUAUAGUAUUUGUCUAUGGAACUGAGAUGGAGUUAGAAUAUUGAUUCUGAGUAAUCAUUUGGUAUAUCAUAGUUCCUAACUCUAGAACUAAUGAGUUGGAUAUCGGGAGAGACAUGAUAGCAUACCUUUAGUUUCCAAUCUUCUAGAGCUUGAGGCUGACUUUCUGAGUAAUCAGUGCCCGCUAGACUUGUGGAUUGACAUGUCUAACCUAGAAUGUUCCUUAUCAUCUCUACCAUUCCUAGAGGGUUGGAUAGAGGGUUAUCUAUUGUUUCUUAUAGAGACAUAUGGAUUUGGUAGAUGAGUAUGAGAUUGGUGAUGAGAAGUCAGGAGUGUAGUUCUCAAAUUGAGAAUUUAUGUAGAAUCCAUGUUAGAUUAUUUGAUAUAGUACCUAUUAGUAGGUUUGAGCGUCAACGCUCUACAAGGCUGAUUGUAUAAAGCUGGACAUGACUUCUGACAACACCAAGCUCGAUAGGACCUACUAACAUGGAUAUCGGUGACGGAAUCUAUAGAGACUAUUAUAAGUCAACGAUAAUAUAUGCAAGCGAUCACCAAGAGUGCUGAAAAGAAUUCUUGGAAUCAAGAUAAGCCAUCAGAGGAAUCAAGUAAGAAGACACUUGUGAGAAUCUUGGCAAUACCUUCUUCAAUUGACUGAUUAAAUUGAUUAUUUCUCUAUCAGUGAUUGUUUUAACAUCUCUUUCAGCGAGACGUUCAUUAAAGAGAAUAUUUCUCUUUAAGAGUAUAUUUUUCACUCUUGAAAUUAUAGAAUGAUGCCAGUGCUUGUGGUAUCAUUUCUGAUCACUUUUCUUUCGAAUUCAGCACAUUUGGAAUCUAUUCCCUAUUUGAACCCCAGGUGCGCAUGAAACUUUUCUCCAAUUAAAGGCAACCAUUGUUAAGUUAAUUAUGAACCCUUUUAUAUUUUUCUACUCUAACUGAGAUGAACAACUCUAAUUAUAGGGGACACAAUGACUCCCUGUCCUCAUUUAGAUACGCAACAUUCUAUCAGGAGGAAACGGUACUAAAGAAUAAAGAAAUAUUACGUUUUAGUCUUCUCUCNCUCUUGCUAUUAUUUCUAACCCUUGCAGCUAAGGAUUAAGGUGGUCACCUGGGUAAGCUGCGCGUAAGAGUAAUGCUAGGCGAGACUGCUAGGGAGGUGGCUGCGAGACUAGUAUGGUUAGAGUUGAAUUAUUUCAAUUCAGUUGUAGAUGGUUUUUAUUUAUUGGUUAUCAGUUAUCCUUCUUACCGAAGUUUAGCUGAUAACGUAGUUUAAGUUGUAAAAAGAUUUUAUAGUUUGGGUUCUGGUUUCAAUGCUGUAACCUAUUUGCGAUCCUGUUGUUAGGGGGUCAAAGUGAUUUUGAUUUAAAUCUCUUUUAAAAAUCCAGAUUUUGAAAUAUAUGUUUUACCUUCUUCCGGAAAUACAGGUUUAAAUUGAUUUUUGUCCACGUGGCACCAGAUCCAGACCCCUGGAUCUGAGGGAUGUCACAGUUGGUAUCAGAGCUGUAGGUUAUAAGUUAUUGAAAUCAGAAUAUAGAUUGUAAUAGAAAUGUGUUUAAUGGAACCUCAUAUAGAGGCAAGUUGAGACUAUUGGAUAUAGUAUUUGUCUAUGGAACUGAGAUGGAGUUAGAAUAUUGAUUCUGAGUAAUCAUUUGGUAUAUCAUAGUUCCUAACUCUAGAACUAAUGAGUUGGAUAUCGGGAGAGACAUGAUAGCAUACCUUUAGCUUCCAAUCUUCUAGAGCUUGAGGAUGACUUUCUGAGUAAUCAGUGUCCGCUAGACUUGUGGAUUGACAUGUCUAACCUAGAAUGUUCCUUAUCAUCUCUACCAUUCCUAGAGGGUUGGAUAGAGGGUUAUCUAUUGUUGCUUAUAGAGACAUAUGGAUUUGGUAGAUGAGUAUGAGAUUGGUGAUGAGAAGUCAGGAGUGUAGUUCUCAAAUUGAGAAUUUAUGUAGAAUCCAUGUUAGAUUAUUUGAUAUAGUACCUAUUAGUAG